Molecule: ribosomal RNA, 443 nt
Filed under: uncultured bacterium
Lineage: Bacteria
Description: partial 16S ribosomal RNA
Rfam family: Bacterial small subunit ribosomal RNA
Source: RNAcentral
CCUACGGGAGGCAGCAGUGGGGAAUAUUGGGCAAUGGGCGCAAGCCUGACCCAGCAACGCCGCGUGAAGGAAGAAGGCUUUCGGGUUGUAAACUUCUUUUCUCAGGGACGAAGCAAGUGACGGUACCUGAGGACUAAGUCACGGCUAACUACGUGCCAGCAGCCGCGGUAAUACGUAGGUGGCAAGCGUUAUCCGGAUUUACUGGGUGUAAAGGGCGUGUAGGCGGGAAAGCAAGUCAGAUGUGAAAACCAUGGGCUCAACCUGUGGCCUGCAUUUGAAACUGUUUUUCUUGAGUACUGGAGAGGCAGACGGAAUGCCUAGUGUAGCGGUGAAAUGCGUAGAUAUUAGGAGGAACACCAGUGGCGAAGGCGGUCUGCUGGACAGCAACUGACGCUGAGGCGCGAAAGCGUGGGGAGCAAACAGGAUUAGAUACCCGGGUAGUC